RNAcentral lists this ribosomal RNA (495 nucleotides) under uncultured bacterium. RNAcentral describes it as "bacterial SSU rRNA". It matches the Rfam family "Bacterial small subunit ribosomal RNA", at positions 29 to 518 of the family's 1533-position model. The record is from RNAcentral.
AACGAACGCUGGCGGCGCGCCUAAUACAUGCAAGUCGAGCGAGAAGACGUAGCAAUACGUUUGUAAAGCGGCGAACGGGUGAGGAAUACAUGGGUAACCUACCCUCGAGUGGGGAAUAACUAGCCGAAAGGUUAGCUAAUACCGCGUACGCUCCUUGGACUUCGGUUCAGGGAGGAAAGCGAUACCGUGGGUAUCGCGCUCUUGGAUGGGCUCAUGUCCUAUCAGCUUGUUGGGAGGUAACGGCUCACCAAGGCUUCGACGGGUAGCUGGUCUGAGAGGACGAUCAGCCACACUGGCACUGCGACACGGGCCAGACUCCUACGGGAGGCAGCAGUAAGGAAUAUUGCGCAAUGGGCGAAAGCCUGACGCAGCGACGCCGCGUGGGGGAUGAAGGUCUUCGGAUUGUAAACCCCUUUCGGGAGGGAAGAUGGAUGGGGUACCCAUUCGGACGGUACCUCCAGAAGCAGCCACGGCUAACUUCGUGCCAGCAGCCGC